UGGCGGGAAAUGUCGUAACAGUAAACACAGGUGACCUUACUGACCGACCGUGGGAAAAUUCAUUCAUGAUUAAAUUUGAUGUGGAAUGAUUGACAGUAUUUUGUUUUAGUUUUGAGGCUCUUGAUCGAUUUACCAGAAUAGAAAUUUAAUCGAUUUACAUACAUGUAUAAUAAAAACACGAUUUAGUCUUCUUUAACUAUUUUUUUGUUUUAUUUUUAUCAGUCAUUUCCCGGAUUCCCAUUUAAAUAAUCUAUUUGAAGACCUCCUUUAAACUUCGGAAAUAAUACAACAUCGAUUUAAAAAAUCAAACUGACUGCGCGAGCUUUAAAAUGACUAGAAGUACGACGAAAAAGUAAAGACAGCUGAUCAUGACUAGUAGGAC
Molecule: long non-coding RNA, 382 nt
Filed under: Mytilus galloprovincialis (Mediterranean mussel)
Lineage: Eukaryota; Metazoa; Mollusca; Bivalvia; Mytilida; Mytilidae
Source: RNAcentral